This 72-nucleotide transfer RNA is filed under the name Neodontobutis hainanensis. RNAcentral's name for it is "tRNA-Val". It matches the Rfam family "tRNA". From Rfam's summary of the family: Transfer RNA (tRNA) molecules are approximately 80 nucleotides in length. Their secondary structure includes four short double-helical elements and three loops (D, anti-codon, and T loops). Further hydrogen bonds mediate the characteristic L-shaped molecular structure. tRNAs have two regions of fundamental functional importance: the anti-codon, which is responsible for specific mRNA codon recognition, and the 3' end, to which the tRNAs corresponding amino acid is attached (by aminoacyl-tRNA synthetases). tRNAs cope with the degeneracy of the genetic code in two manners: having more than one tRNA (with a specific anti-codon) for a particular amino acid; and 'wobble' base-pairing, i.e. permitting non-standard base-pairing at the 3rd anti-codon position. The record is from RNAcentral. Lineage: Eukaryota; Metazoa; Chordata; Actinopteri; Gobiiformes; Odontobutidae.
CAGAGCGUAGCUAAAUAAGAAUAGCAUCUCCCUUACACCGAGAAGAUGUCCGUGCAAGCCGGACCACACUGA